RNAcentral lists this ribosomal RNA (254 nucleotides) under uncultured bacterium. RNAcentral describes it as "partial 16S ribosomal RNA". It matches the Rfam family "Bacterial small subunit ribosomal RNA", at positions 524 to 776 of the family's 1533-position model. The record is from RNAcentral.
GACGAACCGUACAAACGUUAUUCGGAAUUACUGGGCUUAAAGGGUUUGUAGGCGGCCUUGUAAGUCAGGUGUGAAAUCCCUCGGCUCAACCGAGGAAUGGCGCUUGAUACUGCACGGCUUGAGGGAGACAGGGGUAAGCGGAACUGAUGGUGGAGCGGUGAAAUGCGUUGAUAUCAUCAGGAACACCGGUGGCGAAAGCGGCUUACUGGGUCUCUUCUGACGGCUGAGGAACGAAAGCUAGGGGAGCGAACGGG